CGAAGGGUGCAAGCGUUAAUCGGAAUUACUGGGCGUAAAGCGUGCGUAGGUGGUUUGUUAAGUCUGCUGUGAAAGCCCUGGGCUCAACCUGGGAAUGGCGGUGGAUACUGACAAGCUAGAGUGCGGUAGAGGAGGGUGGAAUUCCCGGUGUAGCGGUGAAAUGCGUAGAGAUCGGGAGGAACAUCAGUGGCGAAGGCGGCCCUCUGGACCAGCACUGACGCUGAGGCACGAAAGCGUGGGGAGCAAACAGGAUUAGAUACCCUGGUAGUCCACGCCCUAAACGAUGCGAACUGGACGUUGGGCACAAUUCGGUGCUCAGUGUCGAAGCUAACGCGUUAAGUUCGCCGCCUGGGGAGUACGCUCGCAAGAGUG
Molecule: ribosomal RNA, 372 nt
Filed under: uncultured organism
Description: bacterial SSU rRNA
Rfam family: Bacterial small subunit ribosomal RNA
Source: RNAcentral